AUUGAACGCUGGCGGCAGGCCUAACACAUGCAAGUCGAACGAGUGGCGGACGGGUGAGUAAUGUCUGGGAAACUGCCUGAUGGAGGGGGAUAACUACUGGAAAAGGUAGCUAAUACCGCAUACCAUCGGAUGUGCCCAGAUGGGAUUAGCUAGUUGGUGGGGUAAAGGCUCACCUAGGCGACGAUCCCUAGCUGGUCUGAGGGUAUGACCAGCCACACGGGAACUGAGACACGGUCCAGGCUCCUACGUGAGGCAGCAGUGGGGAAUAUUGCACAAUGGGCGCAAGCCUGAUGCAGCCACGCCGCGUGUAUGAAGAAGGCCUUCGGGUUGUAAAGUACUUUCAGCGGGGAGGCGUUACCCGCAGAAGAAGCACCGGCUAACUCCGUGCCAGCAGCCGCGGUAAUUC
Molecule: ribosomal RNA, 406 nt
Filed under: uncultured bacterium
Lineage: Bacteria
Description: partial 16S ribosomal RNA
Rfam family: Bacterial small subunit ribosomal RNA
Source: RNAcentral